This 374-nucleotide ribosomal RNA is filed under the name uncultured bacterium. RNAcentral's name for it is "bacterial SSU rRNA". It matches the Rfam family "Bacterial small subunit ribosomal RNA", at positions 264 to 629 of the family's 1533-position model. The record is from RNAcentral.
CCUACCAAGGCGACGACGGGUAGCUGGUCUGAGAGGACAACCAGGCCACACUGGCACUGAGACACGGGCCAGACUCCUACGGGAGGCAGCAGUGAGGAAUAUUGCGCAAUGGGGGAAACCCUGACGCAGCAACGCCGCGUGUGGGAAGAAGGCUUUCGGGUUGUAAACCACUUUUGCCCGGGACGAAAAGGGGCCCAAUAAUACGGGGUUCCGAUGACGGUACCGGGAGAAUAAGCCACGGCUAACUCUGUGCCAGCAGCCGCGGUAAGACAGAGGUGGCAAGCGUUGUUCGGAAUUACUGGGCGUAAAGAGUCUGUAGGUGGUUUGUCAAGUCUUUGGUGAAAGGCCGUGGCUUAACCAUGGGAAUGCCAAAG